ACUUCCUGAGUACCUUGCCUGCCUCCUUGAAGCUUCCUCUCAUCGGUGUGAGGUGACUAUGCAACAUGCAAAGUAGAAGUCUCAUCUCCUCUUCACAGGACAUAAGAAAAUAACAAAGGGGGGAUCCUGGCAGGAACCCUUUGAAGGGCUACUAAUGGUCAGGAUGGGUGGGUUAGGUUCUCUACUUGGAGUAUCCUGUCUCAACUGCCUGGAUCCUGAAAGAAAAACACAGUUUAAAAAUCAUAAAGUUUAAGUAAAAGGCAGAGGGGAGGGUAAUGUCGCAGGACUGAGGACUAGGUUGGGACUUACUACUUACCAUCAAAGAAAACUGAGAAGUUACCAGUAAGCCAGAGAAAAUGUAAGGCAGGGGUAACUAAACACUGAAAAAUACUUAGACCUUUUGUACAAAUUUAUAAAAAAUAUUAAACAGUCAAACCUUGCUUGUUUCUCAGUAACUUCGGUGUUAGAAAUACCAUUCAAAACAAACCAAAAAAGGAAGAAAAGAUGUUUCCUCAUUACCAUUUGUGUGUAAAAAGUAAAUGGUAAAUACAUCGAACUAAAGUCGGUAAAAAAUCGGUCAAGAGAGGGGACUGGAAAACACAUAUCAGAGCUUAUAUCCUGGUUUACUAGUCCUUAAGAGGUUUUAAGACCAUGACCUCUAUGAUUUAAAAAUAAAAAACUAAAAUAAAAGUCUAUGGAAAUCCUGGAUAAGUGAUGUAACUUUUCAAAGUCUACAUAGGAUUUCUGUGCUCUGGGUAUGGAGGGCCAUGUUCCCCAGUUCCUUUGCUGCCCUUUGCCUGGGUGGACACCUCGGCUCAGCCUCCUCUCUUCUUCUCUUCUUGAGGGGUGUGUAUGCAGUCCACUUUUGAGGCAGAGGGAAAUCUCCGAGGACAAAUUAACACACUGCAGGAAACUCCAGCAGAAGUCUAAUGGCACCUGAAAAAAUAAAAAGAGGAGAUCAGUUAAGAUAUUCUCACUGUAUAUAUUAUUUUAAAAGACUUUGUGUGUACCUGGUCA
Long non-coding RNA from Penaeus monodon (black tiger shrimp), 1017 nucleotides. RefSeq lists it as uncharacterized. NCBI's taxonomy places the organism in Eukaryota, Metazoa, Arthropoda, Malacostraca, Decapoda, Penaeidae. The transcript is spliced from 2 exons. The record is from RefSeq and is a predicted model, not a curated record.